CGUAGGUGCAAGCGUUGUCCGGAAUUACUGGGUGUAAAGGGAGCGCAGGCGGGAAGACAAGUUGGAAGUGAAAACCAUGGGCUCAACCCAUGAAUUGCUUUCAAAACUGUUUUCUUGAGUAGUGCAGAGGUAGAUGGAAUUCCCGGUGUAGCGGUGGAAUGCGUAGAUAUCGGGAGGAACACCAGUGGCGAAGGCGGUCUACUGGGCACCAACUGACGCUGAGGCUCGAAAAGCAUGGGUAGCAAACAGGAUU
This 253-nucleotide ribosomal RNA is filed under the name uncultured bacterium. Its description in RNAcentral is "partial 16S ribosomal RNA". It matches the Rfam family "Bacterial small subunit ribosomal RNA", at positions 526 to 779 of the family's 1533-position model. The record is from RNAcentral.